RNAcentral lists this ribosomal RNA (1199 nucleotides) under Salmonella enterica subsp. enterica serovar Enteritidis. Its description in RNAcentral is "partial 23S ribosomal RNA". It matches the Rfam family "Bacterial large subunit ribosomal RNA", at positions 1 to 1233 of the family's 2925-position model. The record is from RNAcentral. Lineage: Bacteria; Pseudomonadati; Pseudomonadota; Gammaproteobacteria; Enterobacterales; Enterobacteriaceae.
GGGUUGUGAGGUUAAGCGACUAAGCGUACACGGUGGAUGCCCUGGCAGUCAGAGGCGAUGAAGGGCGUACUAAUCUGCGAUAAGCGCCGGUAAGGUGAUAUGAACCGUUAUAACCGGCGAUACCCGAAUGGGGAAACCCAGUGUGAUUCGUCACACUAUCAUUAACUGAAUCCAUAGGUUAAUGAGGCGAACCGGGGGAACUGAAACAUCUAAGUACCCCGAGGAAAAGAAAUCAACCGAGAUUCCCCCAGUAGCGGCGAGCGAACGGGGAGGAGCCCAGAGCCUGAAUCAGCAUGUGUGUUAGUGGAAGCGUCUGGAAAGGCGCGCGAUACAGGGUGACAGCCCCGUACACAAAAGCGCAUGUGCUGUGAGCUCGAUGAGUAGGGCGGGACACGUGGUAUCCUGUCUGAAUAUGGGGGGACCAUCCUCCAAGGCUAAAUACUCCUGACUGACCGAUAGUGAACCAGUACCGUGAGGGAAAGGCGAAAAGAACCCCGGCGAGGGGAGUGAAAAAGAACCUGAAACCGUGUACGUACAAGCAGUGGGAGCACCCUUUGGGUGUGACUGCGUACCUUUUGUAUAAUGGGUCAGCGACUUAUAUUCUGUAGCAAGGUUAACCGAAUAGGGGAGCCGGAGGGAAACCGAGUCUUAACCGGGCGUUAAGUUGCAGGGUAUAGACCCGAAACCCGGUGAUCUAGCCAUGGGCAGGUUGAAGGUUGGGUAACACUAACUGGAGGACCGAACCGACUAAUGUUGAAAAAUUAGCGGAUGACCUGUGGCUGGGGGUGAAAGGCCAAUCAAACCGGGAGAUAGCUGGUUCUCCCCGAAAGCUAUUUAGGUAGCGCCUCGUGAAUUCAUCUCCGGGGGUAGAGCACUGUUUCGGCUAGGGGGCCAUCCCGGCUUACCAACCCGAUGCAAACUGCGAAUACCGGAGAAUGUUAUCACGGGAGACACACGGCGGGUGCUAACGUCCGUCGUGAAGAGGGAAACAACCCAGACCGCCAGCUAAGGUCCCAAAGUCAUGGUUAAGUGGGAAACGAUGUGGGAAGGCCCAGACAGCCAGGAUGUUGGCUUAGAAGCAGCCAUCAUUUAAAGAAAGCGUAAUAGCUCACUGGUCGAGUCGGCCUGCGCGGAAGAUGUAACGGGGCUAAACCAUGCACCGAAGCUGCGGCAGCGACACUGUGUGUUGUUGGGUAGGG